CCUACGGGCGGCAGCAGUGGGGAAUAUUGCGCAAUGGGCGAAAGCCUGACGCAGCGACGCCGCGUGAGGGAUGAAGGUCUUCGGAUCGUAAACCUCUGUCAGCAGGGAAGAACGGUCACUGUGCUAAUCAGCAGUGAAUUGACGGUACCUACAAAGGAAGCACCGGCUAACUCCGUGCCAGCAGCCGCGGUAAUACGGAGGGUGCGAGCGUUAAUCGGAAUUACUGGGCGUAAAGCGCUCGUAGGCGGUAUGUCAAGUCAAGGGUGAAAUCCCCGCGCUCAACGUGGGAACUGCCUUUGAAACUGGCAAACUGGAGUGUGUGAGCGGAGAGUGGAAUUCCAGGUGUAGGAGUGAAAUCCGUAGAUAUCUGGAGGAACAUCAGUGGCGAAGGCGACUAUCUGGAACAUAACUGACGCUGCGGAGCGAAAGCGUGGGUAGCAAACAGGAUUAGAUACCCUUGUAGUC
Molecule: ribosomal RNA, 465 nt
Filed under: uncultured bacterium
Lineage: Bacteria
Description: partial 16S ribosomal RNA
Rfam family: Bacterial small subunit ribosomal RNA
Source: RNAcentral